Non-coding RNA from Paralichthys olivaceus (Japanese flounder), 441 nucleotides. The record is from RefSeq and is a predicted model, not a curated record. Lineage: Eukaryota; Metazoa; Chordata; Actinopteri; Pleuronectiformes; Paralichthyidae.
AACAGGAAACGCAUCACAUCCAGGAAGUGAGAUCCAUCUCACCUGUGACUGGCACCAAACAUUUCGAUCUGCUCACCAACGUGUUCCUGAAGCUUCUGAGACUCGAGUUGUUUCUGGUUCACAAAAGAAGUUGUAAUAUGUUGGUGUGAAGUUUACGAGCUUCUCUCUUUGGUCGAACAUUCAUUCAGCAGCAGUUUCACCUGAUGGAGAUUUUAAAACGUUCAACGAGCCUGAGGUUCUGGGAGGGUGAGCCGGUUCACCUGAAUCUCCACCUGCACCACAGUGAAAAACUCCCCUCGUCUCCAUCUGCUCACCAGUCCACCCCUGGAACGCUUCUCUGGCCCCGUCGAGCUCUUGGCCUCGUCCCACCCGACUGAAGAUCAGCCAGAUAACGUUAUCUCCCGACCAAUCGGACGCCUGGAUCCAUACCUCAUCCCUCAG